Molecule: ribosomal RNA, 1077 nt
Filed under: uncultured organism
Description: bacterial SSU rRNA
Rfam family: Bacterial small subunit ribosomal RNA
Source: RNAcentral
GGGUGAGUAACGCGUGGGCAACCUACCUUAUACAGGGGGACAACAUCGGGAAACCGGUGCUAAUACCGCAUAACACAUUGAAAUGGAAUCAUUAUGAUGUCAAAGGAGGAAUCCGGUAUAAGAUGGGCCCGCGUCCAAUUAGCUAGUUGGUGAGGUAACGGCUCACCAAGGCGACGAUUGGUAGCCGAACUGAGAGGUUGAUCGGCCACAUUGGGACUGAGACACGGCCCAGACUCCUACGGGAGGCAGCAGUGGGGAAUAUUGCACAAUGGGGGAAACCCUGAUGCAGCAACGCCGCGUGAAGGAUGAAGGUCUUCGGAUUGUAAACUUCUUUGAUUGGGGAAGAAGAAGUGACGGUACCCAAAAAACAAGCCACGGCUAACUACGUGCCAGCAGCCGCGGUAAUACGUAGGUGGCAAGCGUUGUCCGGAAUUACUGGGUGUAAAGGGCGUGUAGGCGGGGAUGCAAGUCAGGUGUGAAAGCCCAUGGCUCAACUGUGGGACUGCAUCUGAAACUGAAUCUCUUGAGUACUGGAGAGGGAAGUGGAAUUCCUAGUGUAGCGGUGAAAUGCGUAGAGAUUAGGAGGAACACCAGUGGCGAAGGCGGCUUCCUGGACAGUAACUGACGCUGAGGCGCGAAAGCGUGGGGAGCGAACAGGAUUAGAUACCCUGGUAGUCCACGCCGUAAACGAUGGAUACUAGGUGUAGGAGGUAUCGACCCCUUCUGUGCCGGAGUUAACACAUUAAGUAUCCCACCUGGGGAAUACGACCGCAAGGUUGAAACUCAAAGGAAUUGACGGGGGCCCGCACAAGCAGUGGAGUAUGUGGUCUAAUUCGAAGCAACGCGAAGAACCUUACCAGGGCUUGACAUCCCUUGACAGCUCUAGAGAUAGAGUUUCCCUUCGGGGCAAGGAGACAGGUGGUGCAUGGUUGUCGUCAGCUCGUGUCGUGAGAUGUUGGGUUAAGUCCCGUAACGAGUGCAACCCUUAUUGUUAGUUGCCAGCAAGUAAAGUUGGGCACUCUAACGAGACGGCCGGUGAUAUAUCGGAGGAAGGUGGGGAGGACGUCAAAUCAUCAU